UGGGGAAUCUUAGACAAUGGGGGCAACCCUGAUCUAGCCAUGCCGCGUGAGUGAUGAAGGCCCUAGGGUCGUAAAGCUCUUUCGCCAGGGAUGAUAAUGACAGUACCUGGUGAAGAAACCCCGGCUAACUCCGUG
RNAcentral lists this ribosomal RNA (135 nucleotides) under uncultured Alphaproteobacteria bacterium. Its description in RNAcentral is "partial 16S ribosomal RNA". It matches the Rfam family "Bacterial small subunit ribosomal RNA", at positions 355 to 507 of the family's 1533-position model. Lineage: Bacteria; Pseudomonadati; Pseudomonadota; Alphaproteobacteria. The record is from RNAcentral.